AAGUCGUAACAAGGUUUCCGUAGGUGAACCUGCGGAAGGAUCAUUAGUGAAACACCUGAACUGCUUUUCGCCUUUCAAGGCAGAAGCUUUUCAACUCACAUCCAUAACACCUGUGAACAGUAUGAUGUGGUAACCUCUGGUUCCUGUCAAAACUUUAUAAACAUUGAAGUAACAAAAGUAGUAUUAUAAUAAUCUAAUAAAACUUUCAACAACGGAUCUCUUGGCUCUCGCAUCGAUGAAGAACGCAGCGAAAUGCGAUAAGUAAUGUGAAUUGCAGAAUUCAGUGAAUCAUCGAAUCUUUGAACGCACCUUGCGCUCUAUGGUAUUCCGUAGAGCAUGCCUGUUUGAGUGUCAUGAAAAACUAUCAACCUUGGUUUUGGUUUAUUCCAUCAUCUUGGCUUGGAUGUGGGUGUUUGCCUUUGCGAGAGGGCUCACCUUAAAUAUAUUAGCUAGAUUAGUUUGUGAAACUGGUUUGACUUGGUGUAAUAAAUAUUUCACUGAGGACAUCUUUAUGAUGGCCAUCAUUCUCAACAAUGAUCUGCUUUCCAACAUAUACAUUACCUUUAGUGUCAUGACCUUUAUUAUUUGGCCUCAAAUCAGGUAGGACUACCCGCUGAACUUAAGCAUAUCAAUAAGCGGAGGAAAAGAAACUAACAAGGAUUCCCCUAGUAACGGCGAGUGAAGCGGGAGGAGCUCAAAUUUGAAAUCUGGUGGCCUCAGGUCAUCCGAGUUGUAAUCUAUAGAAACAUUUUCCGUGCUGGCUCAUGUACAAGUCCCUUGGAACAGGGCAUCAUAGAGGGUGAGAAUCCCGUCCUUGACAUGAACCACCAGUGCUCUGUGAUAUGUUUUCAACGAGUCGAGUUGUUUGGGAAUGCAGCUCAAAAUGGGUGGUAAAUUCCAUCUAAAGCUAAAUAUUGGCGAGAGACCGAUAGCGAACAAGUACCGUGAGGGAAAGAUGAAAAGCACUUUGGAAAGAGAGUUAAACAGUAUGUGAAAUUGUUGAAAGGGAAACGAUUGAAGUCAGUCAUGUCUUUGGAAUUCAGCUGGUUUCACCAGUGUACUUUCCAAGGAUGGGGUCAACAUCAGUUUUGACUGCUGGAUAAAGUUCAGAGGAAUGUAGCACUCUUGGGUGCAUUAUAGCCUUUGUUCACAUACAGUGGUUGGGACUGAGGAACGCAGCUUGCCUUCAUGGCCGGGAUUUAUCCACGUACAAGCUUAGGAUGUUGACAUAAUGGCUUUAAACGACC
RNAcentral lists this ribosomal RNA (1247 nucleotides) under uncultured fungus. RNAcentral describes it as "eukaryotic LSU rRNA". The stretch from base 587 to 1247 matches the Rfam family "Eukaryotic large subunit ribosomal RNA", at positions 1 to 649 of the family's 3401-position model. Lineage: Eukaryota; Fungi. The record is from RNAcentral.